RNAcentral lists this RNase P RNA (314 nucleotides) under Siminovitchia fortis. Its description in RNAcentral is "Bacillus fortis Bacterial RNase P class A". It matches the Rfam family "Bacterial RNase P class A", at positions 12 to 303 of the family's 367-position model. From Rfam's summary of the family: Ribonuclease P (RNase P) is a ubiquitous endoribonuclease, found in archaea, bacteria and eukarya as well as chloroplasts and mitochondria. Its best characterised activity is the generation of mature 5'-ends of tRNAs by cleaving the 5'-leader elements of precursor-tRNAs. The record is from Rfam by way of RNAcentral. Lineage: Bacteria; Bacillati; Bacillota; Bacilli; Caryophanales; Bacillaceae.
GACAGUCGCCGCUUCGUCGUCGUCCUCUUCGGGGGAGACGGGCGGAGGGGAGGAAAGUCCGGGCUCCAUAGGGCAGGGUGCCAGGUAACGCCUGGGGGGGAAACCCACGACCAGUGCAACAGAGAGCAAACCGCCGAUGGCCCGCGCAAGCGGGAUCAGGUAAGGGUGAAAGGGUGCGGUAAGAGCGCACCGCGCGGCUGGUAACAGUCCGUGGCACGGUAAACUCCACCCGGAGCAAGGCCAAAUAGGGGUUCAUAAGGUACGGCCCGUACUGAACCCGGGUAGGCUGCUUGAGCCAGUGAGCGAUUGCUGGC